This 28-nucleotide small RNA is filed under the name Bombyx mori (domestic silkworm). RNAcentral's name for it is "piRNA piR-bmo-2072472". Lineage: Eukaryota; Metazoa; Arthropoda; Insecta; Lepidoptera; Bombycidae. The record is from RNAcentral.
UGCUACCGAAUGCCGUCGCCGAGCGUGG